GGGGCAGGCUAAAAGUUGGGCUGUGUAAACAGAAGAGGGGAUGGAGGCAAGCGAGGGAGACGUAGCGCUGUGCAGGACCAUUAGGCAAAGAGGGGAAGGGAUUAAGGUGCAGAAAUCUGCUCUUAAAUCAACGCCGCUGGAGCGGUGGUUGGGCUGUGUGAGUAAGAGUUAGCUCAGGGCAGGUAAGUCAUAUUUCUGCAGGCCAUGGGAUGUGAAGAUAAAGCUGUCAAAAAGCCCCCCAGGUUCUGAAAGGAGUGCCUGUUUUACUCCUUUUUAUCCUCAGCUGCUAGCUAGUACACAAACACUUGACUUAAACGUAUACUGAGAUUCAGAAGUGUAUGCAGUCUCAUACGGUUCUCUUAAGAUGUUAAGCGCUGUAAUAAACACCCACCCUUUUGCAACAUCAGAUAGUUUGGCUGACGCAGAAGAAUCCUUGAAACAUUAGACCCGCGACUGAGGAGGGGUACGGAUGUCAAACAUCUUGUUAUCAAAGCCAGAGCUUUCAGAGCAGUGUUUGAGAGGGCUACAUCGUUUUGAACAGCCCCCGCUGUACCAAAGCAUGUCCGGAUUUUACAGAUAACUUGUGCUGUUCCAUCUUUGAUAGCAGCGUUUCUGUACAUAUGGAUAGCUCAGAUUUAUCUUCCGAGUGACAAUGCUUAUCCUGUUCACCGCAGAAUAUGAGAAAGCUUUUGCUGAGCUUCAAAGUCUUGCAUGGGAACCUGUUAUCAAAUACUGAGUUCAAGUUACCACCCUGUUAUGGUGGGACGUCGAGAAGAAUACCCAAAUUCCAGAUUCUGUAUUUUGACACAAAAAGGAAAUGAACACACAAUGUGUACUGCACUCAGCAACUCUGCACUCUUAGUACAAGGAUCUCUUUUUUACUGUGGAAAAAGGAGUCUCAAAGGCUUUCAAAGGGGAACACUUUCAAAGGUAACCACUUUUUCAUCAUGUCCCAUAUUUCUGGAUCUGAAUUUCAGCACUGAAGAUUUCAGGUACUAUAAAAAACAUUAAUGUAUUGCAACUUUGUAUUAAGGUCAUGUCUCACUGAUGCAGACCGUACUGGUUUAGCCACCCAGCCUGACAAACUGCUGCAAGUGCCAAGCCAUGCAUCUUUUUUCCCCCCAUAAUUAUGCCAUUUUUAUCCCUGAGUGAGAUUUCUCAGACAUGCUAUUGUUGUCAGGGACAUACAGCUCCAUUACCACUAUGCUGAAAACUCUUCCCUGCCCCCACAAUGCAUUCAAAUGGAUCUGAGCUUUCACUAAACAGAGGUUUCAUAAUCACAGAUUGAACAAAGUUUAGUUGUGCUUAUUAGAAGUGCCAUAGUACAGACAUGGUCAUUUUGUUAUUUAACUCUAAAAAAAAAUCUCUGUAUAAUACUAUUUUUGUUGAACCACCAACACUCCCUCCCAAGACUUAGAUGCUGUAUCAAAGCUUUUUUUUUUUUUAAAAAAAAAAAAAAAAAGUCUUUGAAUGGAGUAGGGAUGUCAGGUCAGAAAAGAAUUUAAACUGAAAACAAACUGGAAAGCUAUAUUGCACAUAAAACAUCUUUGAACUUCAUCAGCAAUAUAUAAUAAGUAAAUUGGAUUGGUGCUCUUUUUGUUUUCAGACAGGGGUUUGAAGGUCUGGGUUUCUUAAGCAUCAUUUUAAUUGCAUUAAGUCUCUCUGCAGUCAAUAGAAAGACUCUCACAGGUCUCCUAAAAAUAGACUAGCUGCUCUCCUCAGUGGCGACAUACCAUGAAGACUUAUGAGUGUACUAGGGGCUGUGGCUGGCAGUGCCUGGCAUUGCAGACACAGAAUGCUCCCCCACAGCAGCAGGAUGUGUGCUCCCCAGGAUCGAGCAUCAGCUAGACCCAGUUAGACUAGCAGCAGGCUCCUCCUUGCAGGCUGUCAUCCUGCGGUGGGGGUUUGGUCCUUCAGACUCCUCCUGGGAGGGUAACACAAAGGCUGGCAGGAACCCAGGAGGCUCCUGGGCUGCAGGGGCAAUGAUGGGUCCUCAUGGAGAUGCCUGAGG
RNAcentral lists this long non-coding RNA (2011 nucleotides) under Anas platyrhynchos platyrhynchos (common mallard). RNAcentral's name for it is "lncRNA (ENSAPLG00000021276.1)". The record is from RNAcentral. Lineage: Eukaryota; Metazoa; Chordata; Aves; Anseriformes; Anatidae.